Solanum lycopersicum (tomato) is the source of this 1621-nucleotide non-coding RNA. The record is from RefSeq and is a predicted model, not a curated record. NCBI's taxonomy places the organism in Eukaryota, Viridiplantae, Streptophyta, Magnoliopsida, Solanales, Solanaceae.
UCUUUUUUCCUUUUUCUCAAUACAUGUUUUUGCGUAAUGUUUUGAAUUUUCUGCUGAUGUAUCUUUUUUUUUUGUGUGUAAGUAUCUUAUUGUUUCUUACUUGCUAUUCAAAUCAGGUUAAACUUUUAAUUAGUUUCAGAAAUUGAUUUAUUUAUUCAGGCUCAACAUUGAUGAGAUGGUUUGCAUUUUUUAUACCUUGUUUUGAUGCUUGAUUGUUGGUAAACUUAACGUCCUGGAUCAAUUGUUGAACGCUGAUAUAGAAAGUAAAUUGAGUUGCUUUUAACGUAUGUGUGUUCCAAUCGAAUGCUUACUCUCUUUAUCUAGGAGAGAAAUAGAAGACAAAUGUAACUUUAAGAAUAUCUCCUCUUGUCUCUGAUGGAUCUUUCUGUCAAUCAAAUAAUUUGGUUACUAUGAAAAUAAUGUGAUGCAGGUGAACUGAGAAGUUUUUGUUAAGUUUAAUUGUUUAUUAUUCAUUCAUUACACAAUCAAUCCCUCAAUCACAUGCUACCUGGUCAUUAUCAUUUUUUUGAGUUUUGAUUGUUUGAUCACACGCUAUAUUAUGUAUCUACUUUUGUUACUUUAGCCCCUGGUUAGUAGUUCUAUUUUAGGCGGUUCCGUUCUGCCUUCCAUUUUCUCUAUAGUCUAUACUUAAUAUAUACUAUAUUAGCCCCAACAAUUCUUUGUCAAUUUUCUUUAAUUAGAGUUGUUAGUGAACAAUAUGUUGACGAACAGAACUUGACUAGGCUCGUCAAACUCAAACAGGUCCUAUUUAUUUGUGAACUAAACAAAUUUUGAGCUCGUUUUGUUGCUUGAUUGUUAGUAAAACAGAACCUGGGAAAGAUCUGUUUGACUCGCGGUGUGUGCAUGGACAGUACUUGCUACCCUCUUUUUCAUUCAUAAAUGUAUAAAAGUCAUUUGCUCUUCUGUUAGAGUUUCGAAGUUACCCAAUAACCGGAAACUGAUUAGUUUAAUUAGCAUGUUGAUUGUUUGUAUCUAAAAGAAUGGAUUAAAACGGAGCUUAAAUGAGCUGCACGUUAGCUGUCUUUACCAAUGAAUAGGACAAGCUUGAACUCAAAAUUUACUUGAAUGGGACAUGAGCUUGAUCUUAAUUCAUAAAAUGUUGCCCACCUUGUGUUUGCUUCUUUCAUUUACUUCUCUGCCUUUAAUUGACAUACGGGAAUACCAAGUACUUUAGAGUAAUUUUUGGUCCCAUAUGAGGAAGGUAUACACAGCUAAGCUGGGCCAACUAAAGGUGGUAAAAACUGGGAAUGAUUGAGUAUGCCUUCUCCCAUGAUAAUUUCUGUGUAGGAGUCAAACUCUGUGUCGCUCUCGGGAAAAAGAAGUUCCACUCAAUUUUUUAAUAGUGCUGUGUUCUCAUCCUUCUGGGUGCUUUCUGGAUUAUGAAGAGCAGUCCUCGGGCAUUAUAGUUUAGGCAUUGCUCUAUUAAGAGAAAUUGGUGAAUUUAAGCAUCUCUAUUUGUUCCAUCCUUCAGCAUAGUUCUGGAUUUCUAAUGAAGACCGGAACACUUUUCUGUAGUGAUUCCUUUUUAUCCGUAAGGUAGGUGAACAUUUACUUACUGUUUAAUUUUAAAAUAUUUGGAAAAAGUGACUUUUGAUUGAAA